UGUUGCUCAUCUAUCUGACCAAGGAUGUUUUGGAAUAAAAUACAAGGAAACUGGUAAUGGAAAAAUCUCUCCAUGCAGAAAUUUUUCUCAUUUCAGCUACAUACCUCAAAGCAUGAAAGUCUAUUCAUUUUAAAGCAGUCUUACAAGCUUCACUUCCUAUCUAGUAAUGGAGAAUUAUCACCCUUUAUUUUGACAUCACCUGUAAUGAAAUGAGCUUUUU
This 220-nucleotide long non-coding RNA is filed under the name Parus major (Great Tit). Its description in RNAcentral is "lncRNA (ENSPMJG00000014863.1)". Lineage: Eukaryota; Metazoa; Chordata; Aves; Passeriformes; Paridae. The record is from RNAcentral.